GAUUUGUCUUUAUACUUAGAUUUAUACCCGAACCCUUAUCGAAUUCGAGUGUCCUCGUCUAGGUAGCCACACAUACUAGUUUUUCUGGGAACCAUGGCCUUUUAAGGUUUAAAUUAUUUCUAAACAAAAAGUUUGC
Molecule: ribosomal RNA, 136 nt
Filed under: Sargassum hemiphyllum
Lineage: Eukaryota; Phaeophyceae; Fucales; Sargassaceae
Also listed under: 1 other name
Source: RNAcentral